CCCCGAUUGAUUCUGUCGGCGGUUAUAUGCUUAUCUCAAAGGCUAAGCAUGCAUGUCUAAGUUCAAAUGGCCUAUAAAGGUGAAACCGCGAACGGCUCAUUACAACAGCUAUUAUAUACUUGAUCUUGAUAUCCUACGUGGAUAACUGUGGUAAUUCUAGA
RNAcentral lists this ribosomal RNA (161 nucleotides) under Ascaris lumbricoides (common roundworm). Its description in RNAcentral is "18S rRNA". It matches the Rfam family "Eukaryotic small subunit ribosomal RNA", at positions 1 to 162 of the family's 1831-position model. The record is from RNAcentral. Lineage: Eukaryota; Metazoa; Nematoda; Chromadorea; Rhabditida; Ascarididae.